This 71-nucleotide transfer RNA is filed under the name Marmota monax (woodchuck). RNAcentral's name for it is "tRNA.Ala". It matches the Rfam family "tRNA". From Rfam's summary of the family: Transfer RNA (tRNA) molecules are approximately 80 nucleotides in length. Their secondary structure includes four short double-helical elements and three loops (D, anti-codon, and T loops). Further hydrogen bonds mediate the characteristic L-shaped molecular structure. tRNAs have two regions of fundamental functional importance: the anti-codon, which is responsible for specific mRNA codon recognition, and the 3' end, to which the tRNAs corresponding amino acid is attached (by aminoacyl-tRNA synthetases). tRNAs cope with the degeneracy of the genetic code in two manners: having more than one tRNA (with a specific anti-codon) for a particular amino acid; and 'wobble' base-pairing, i.e. permitting non-standard base-pairing at the 3rd anti-codon position. The record is from RNAcentral. Lineage: Eukaryota; Metazoa; Chordata; Mammalia; Rodentia; Sciuridae.
GGGGUUGUGGCUCAGCGGUAGAGCACUCUCCUAGCAUGUGUGAGGACCUGGGUUCAACCCUCAGCACCACA